RNAcentral lists this RNase P RNA (322 nucleotides) under Aliarcobacter trophiarum LMG 25534. RNAcentral's name for it is "Arcobacter trophiarum LMG 25534 RNase P RNA component class A". It matches the Rfam family "Bacterial RNase P class A". Rfam says of the family: Ribonuclease P (RNase P) is a ubiquitous endoribonuclease, found in archaea, bacteria and eukarya as well as chloroplasts and mitochondria. Its best characterised activity is the generation of mature 5'-ends of tRNAs by cleaving the 5'-leader elements of precursor-tRNAs. The record is from RNAcentral. Lineage: Bacteria; Pseudomonadati; Campylobacterota; Epsilonproteobacteria; Campylobacterales; Arcobacteraceae.
AAAGGUAGAUAGAUAAUAGCUUGAUUUUCAAGAGGAAAGUCCGUGCUGCAGUGAAGCAAGGUUCCAUCUAACGGAUGGCUAGAGUAAUCUAAGGGAUAGUGCAACAGAAAGUAAACAGCCAAUUUUUUGGUGAUGGUGAAACGGUAGAGUAAGAGCCUACCAGUGUUUUGAGUAAUCUUAACAGCUUUGUAAACCCAACUUGCAGUAAGAAGAUAUGGUAUUUAGCUUCACAUUUCUCAUCUUCGCAAGAGCUUUAAAGUGAUUUAAAGCCUAGAUAAAUUAUUGUCAAAUACAGAACACGGCUUAUAAUCUACCUUUUUUA